This is a long non-coding RNA of Junco hyemalis (dark-eyed junco), 1585 nucleotides long. Lineage: Eukaryota; Metazoa; Chordata; Aves; Passeriformes; Passerellidae. The record is from Ensembl.
GUUGAUGUCUAUAAGCUAUUCCACUUGAUGAAUGUAUGGAUUCAGUGCUGGAAUUAGCGGAGUGUGUGGAUCAGGGAAGUCAAGGCAGGAGGGGAAUCUGCGGGGAAAACCCAAUUGAGUGGCUUACCCGAGACUUCUGAAUGUCCAAGAUAUUAUUCCAUGGGAAGAUCAUCUUCAAUAUGAUCUCCUGGAUGAUGGUUUGAGUCUCCCACAGAGAGAUGUGGUUGUCCUGCUUCUCCAUGGCCUGGCCCAUCACUGACUCUGCAUUCUGAAGGUCUCUGGCUUGCUUGGAGCUGCCAAACUUUGGGUUCAGAUCUGGAAUUAGAUGGUUUUUAUUGAUGUCACUUGAAAAUCUGAUUGUCAACAUCAUGAAAACAGUGCUAGGAAAAGCCACAAAAUAUUGCACAAGACCCAGAAGGACUGAAAGUUGGAGGAUUUCUUUCAGGGGAUAUAUUGUUUUCACUGGUUUAUCAGACAGACCAUCACUUCCUGCAUCCCAGGGUUAUAAGGACAAGUUCAACUUGCAUCAUCCUUCUCCAUUUCCUCAGCUGGCAUUCAACUUCCAGUUGGAUGCAUCAUGUUUCCCAUUUCCUGGCAUCCCAAUAAAGUCUGGAUGAAUGAUGAGAGAGUCUGCUGGGAGACAUUUACACAAUGAUGAUAGCUAAUAAGAAAUGGCAUUAAGAAAUUACUUCAACUUUCUCCACUGAGAUGUUGCCAUCGGCUGUUGAUGAACUUUUAGCUCAUUCUCUUGUGACAUGGAAAGGAAAGAUCUGAAAUGCAGCAUAUAUUUCAAGCAGAAAAGCGAUUGAAAAAAUUCCAAGAAAUCUCUGUGAAGAGCCAAAGAGAAGUGUUGCACUGUGAGACAAUGCCUCUGGACAAUUACAGCCUGUUAGUUUUAAUGCAGCUCCAAUUGCUUCCGUCUGCAGCCAAUCUGACCACUGGAAACAGGCACUUUUGCAAUGCCCUUUAAUUUUUCUGAUUUGUGUGUGGGCAGUAUCUGUUGGUAUUAAUACAACUCUUUUCCGGAUUGAAUUAGGGAAAACAAGACGAGCUUUCAAAGGAGCCUCAACUUUCUUUGGGAAACGUGAGCUGCAGAGCAGAGGAUCCACGUGGAUGGGUUAUCAAUAUUCAAGUGCAAACUCAGGAAGGAGGCACAGAGAAGUCCCAUGGGUCCCCAGAUGUCCCCAGCAGCACCCCACAACCUCUUUAGCCAUCCUUUAGCUAUUCUGAAUCUGCCAGAUACUCCAGCUCCAUCCUCAGGGCUGUGCCAGCAGGGAUCCCCACAAUUCCCAACUUUCUGGGCCUCUAUAUUCUCUGGAUGAAUUAAACAGCUCAUGAGCUAAAAAUCUUCUUCCAUCCCUACAGUCUGACAAAUACACAUUUUGUUUUUAAACUAAUUUGCAAGAGCCUUUCCCAGAUCCAGCUCCCUCCCCUUGUAGGAAUUGUCUUGUGCCUACACUUAAACCUGGCUUAUGGAAACCACAGCCCCAGAGAAGCUCAAAUUUGCUCUUUUUAUGAGGAACGGGCUGAAAAAUGGCAAACAUUAAGUUCUAAUAAAAAUGUAUGUAUAUUUUAAAAUUCUUCA